AGCUUUGCUGGAGAAAGUUGUACAGGCCAGCAUAUUUAGCAUCACUCUAAAUUCAUCAUUACCAGCUGACAGCACUCCAGCGAACAUGGUGAAUGUUCCCCAAACCCACCAGACUUUCUGUAAGAAGUAUCACAAGCACCAACUCCACAAAGUGACAUAGUCCAAGAAGGGCAAGGAUUCUCUGUGUGUCUAGGGAAAGCAGCAUUAUGACAGGAAGCACAGUGGCUAUGGUGGGCAGAGUAAGCCGAUUUUCCAGAAAAAAGCUAAAACUACAGAGAAGAUUGUGCUAAGGCUUGAGUGUGUUGAGCUCAAUUUCAGAUCUGAGAAAAUGUGGCUAUUAAGAGAUGCAAGCACUUUGAACUGGGAGGAGAUAAGUGAAAAGGCCAAGUGAUCCAGUUUUAAGUGUCAUCUUUUGUUUUGUUAUGAAGACAAUAAAAUCUUGAGUUUAUGUUCCAAAAAAUUUAAAAAUAAAUUCAUCAUUACCGAAGUUAAUAUUGGCAGCAGUCUUACUAUAUUUCUCUAACAAGUAUCCUACUCUACUCUUUGCAACAAAUGUUUCAUCCCUUCAUUACUCUCUUCUACCUCUCACCCUCCCUGUUUCCUUCCCUAUGCUGUUGGUAGUCUUGACUCAUACCUCAGAAGGAAAAAGGAAGCCAUCAUAUGUGAGCUCUCUUACUUCCUACCACCAAUCUGCAAACGUGUCUACAGCCAUCCUCUCCUCUCUAGUUGGAGGAAAUAUUCCACCUCCUAACAAAAGCUAAGUAAUCCCUCCCUGGCGCUCUGGAUUGCAUACCCUCCUACUUGAUCACAAUUGGUUGCUUACUCAGCAAUGACUUCUCUAUUCCUCCUUUGAAGCGUAACAGUUUGUUUAGAUAUCCACCUUCCUCCACACAUGCCUGUGAAUGUGAACAUAUCUCAGUGUAAUGUUUGAGAUGACUACUGGAGCCAUGCUCUGACCUAAGGAUGGCAGAUUUAAAUGACAUGUUGAACCUCUGAAUUCACUAACCUGGCAGUCACUGUGCCUCUGGUCUUCUUGAUAUGUGUGACAAUGAAUUUCCUCUGUUGUUUAAGCCACUCUGAGAUUGUCGUCAUCCAUAUGCAGAGAAUAUCAUACCAAAAUGGUAUACUCUUUAAGCUAUCCCAAAUAAACCUAUAUUCCAAGUACAAACACUGUCAUUGCUAUACAAAUGGAACUUUAUGACAAUUCCCUGAUGCUACUCCAUUCCCACC
RNAcentral lists this long non-coding RNA (1230 nucleotides) under Homo sapiens (human). Its description in RNAcentral is "non-protein coding lnc-TESK1-2:1". Lineage: Eukaryota; Metazoa; Chordata; Mammalia; Primates; Hominidae. The record is from RNAcentral.